GUGGGGCAGUGUGUGUAUGGGGCUAGAGUUCACUCUCACCACUUCCUGGUGAGAGUGAACUCUAGCCCCAUACACACACUG
Non-coding RNA from Pelobates cultripes (western spadefoot toad), 81 nucleotides. The record is from the annotation of a GenBank genome assembly. Lineage: Eukaryota; Metazoa; Chordata; Amphibia; Anura; Pelobatidae.